This 283-nucleotide unclassified non-coding RNA is filed under the name uncultured Pochonia. RNAcentral describes it as "sequence contains ITS2". The stretch from base 1 to 54 matches the Rfam family "5.8S ribosomal RNA", at positions 101 to 154 of the family's 154-position model. Lineage: Eukaryota; Fungi; Ascomycota; Sordariomycetes; Hypocreales; Clavicipitaceae. The record is from RNAcentral.
GGAACGCACAUUGCGCCCGCCAGUAUUCUGGCGGGCAUGCCUGUUCGAGCGUCAUUUCAACCCUCAAGCCCCAGCGGCCUGGUGUUGGGGACCGGCGACCUCGCUGACGCCCUUCUUGGGCCCAGCGUCCGCCGCCCCCGAAAUGAAUUGGCGGUCUCGUCGCGGCCUCCUCUGCGUAGUAGCACAACCUCGCAACAGGAGCGCGACGCGGCCACUGCCGUAAAACGCCCAACUUUUUUAGAGUUGACCUCGGAUCAGGUAGGAAUACCCGCUGAACUUAAGC